Molecule: ribosomal RNA, 429 nt
Filed under: Bacteroidota bacterium
Lineage: Bacteria; Pseudomonadati; Bacteroidota
Description: Bacteroidetes bacterium partial 16S ribosomal RNA
Rfam family: Bacterial small subunit ribosomal RNA
Source: RNAcentral
UAGGGAAUCUUCGGCAAUGGGGGGAACCCUGACCGAGCAACGCCGCGUGAGUGAAGAAGGUUUUCGGAUCGUAAAGCUCUGUUGUUAAGGAAGAACGAGUGUGAGAAUGGAAAGUUCAUACUGUGACGGUACUUAACCAGAAAGGGACGGCUAACUACGUGCCAGCAGCCGCGGUAAUACGUAGGUCCCGAGCGUUGUCCGGAUUUAUUGGGCGUAAAGCGAGCGCAGGCGGUUAGAUAAGUCUGAAGUUAAAGUCAGUGGCUCAACCAUUGUAGGCUUUGGAAACUGUUUAACUUGAGUGCAGAAGAGGAAAGUGGAAUUCCAUGUGUAGCGGUGAAAUGCGCAGAGAUAUGGAGGAACACCAGUGGCGAAGGCGACUUUCUGGUCUGUAACUGACGCUGAUGUGCGAAAGCGUGGGAAUCAAACAGG